Molecule: long non-coding RNA, 3509 nt
Organism: Olea europaea var. sylvestris
Lineage: Eukaryota; Viridiplantae; Streptophyta; Magnoliopsida; Lamiales; Oleaceae
Exons: 2
Source: RefSeq, a predicted model, not a curated record
CAUUGGUAGACCUUUUCAGGAUGACUAAACUAAUCACAUGGGAUGAGGCACCAAUGGUAAAUCGUUACGCUGUGGAAAAUUUUAAAAGAUAUUAACUAAUGAGAUGUGCCAUUUGGGGGAAAAAUAAUUGUAUUAGGAGGAGAUUUUAGUCAAGUUUUACCGAUUGUUCAAAGAGGAAAAAAAGAAGAUAUAAUGAAGGCGAGUUUGGUUUUUUCAUAUUUGUGGCCUUCUUUUACCCAUUUACCAUUAGUUCAAAAUAUGAGAGCUCAAUUAGAUCCAUUAUUUUGUAAAUAUUUACUUAGUAUCGAAAAUGGUACGGAGAAAGAACACUCAUGUCGGAUGAUUAAACUUCCAUCCGAUAUAACCAUAUAGUUUGAGGACGAAUUUCAAUCUUUGAGACAUUUGAUUAACGUGGUUUUUCCAAAUAUAGAAAAUUUAGAUACUAUGAUUAAUAGAGUCAUUUUGACACCGAAAAAUGAAUAUGUCGAUCAAAUAAACAAUAUUUUACUAAAAGAAAUUCCUGGGAAGAUAUUUACAUAUUACAGCUUUGAUGAAACCAUUGACAAAUCCGAACAAAGUAUCCAAGAAGAUUUUCUAAAUACGCUAACUCCGAAUGGUAUUCCACCACAUGAACUUACAUUAAAACAAAACUAUCCCUUUAUGUUACUUCGAAAUAUUAAUCUAUCUGAAGGUUUAUGCAAUGGAACAAGACUUAUUUGUCGAAGAUUUGAAUGAAAUGUGAUUGAUGUAGAAAUUGCUAUUGGAGAAUACCGUGGAAAGCAAGUAUUUUUACCUAGAAUUCCUUUUGUACUGCUUGAAAGUGAUAAAACUUCAAUUCCUUUUAAAAGAACUCAAUUCCCAAUCCAUCCAUGUUUUGCAAUGACAAUAAACAAAUCCCAAGGUCAAACUUUAUAUUAUGUUGGGCUUUAUCUUCCAGAACCUGUAUUUUCUCACGGACAGUUAUACGUUGCUUUGUCAAGAGCCAAAACAAGUAAAGCUAUUAAAAUUUUGAUAAAGCCAUUAGACAAACCUACAAUACGUAAUACAUGCACAAAAAUGUCGUCUACCAAGAAAUUCUUGCUUUGAUAAGAUCUUCAUAGCCUUUUCUAAGAGCAUUUUCAAAAUACUAUGAAGUAUAUGUUUUAUAAAAAAUUGUUGGUUCUUGUCAAUUGUCCAAACUUUUAUAAUGUUUUGUUAACUUGAUUGUGUUGUGUUAGACUAUUGAUUUAGAGGAUUACUUUCUUACCAGAUAUAGCUUUUGUUGUAUAUAUAAAUACUAUUUUCUUAUAAACAUUUAAUAACUGUUCUAGAAUAUAUUGAACUAAGUGUACAUAUUAAUUUCUUUGUUUUGGCCAACUAUAUCUUAGACCACAAUUUUACCUGCCAACUUUUCAGUCAAGUUUGUUUUAUUGUUGAUUGUAUUUUAUCCAACAUCAAAAGUGAUCCCUUUACAUUGUUUUUUGCAUAUUUUCCUACUACUUAAACUUCAUAUGGUAAAUUAUUAGCCUUCAUAUCUUUUGUUUUAGAAACAGCCUAUAGAUUAUAAAUCAUUAUCUUUUAAUUUUUGUAGUCAUAUAGUGCUCUCUGUGUAUUAAUGCAGUGAGAUAUUUAAGUUUUGAGAUUCAAGAUUGGUGACUAAUGAAAUAAAGAAUGGAUCAGUACAACAUUCUGGAGAAAAUUGCUCGAGAGGCUUUUGGGGCAGCCAUUUUGAUCAAUUGCAAGCCAGAAAGAAAAAUUUAUGUCAUUUGAAAUUAUAUUAGUUUUAUUCAUUUUCGUAUUAUUUUGCAAAAAUUGUAUUUGAAGUACGCAAAAAUCUAACAAUUUUCCCCCUUACUCUUUGAAAUGAAAAAAUUAGGUAUGUGCUCAUCUAGAGGUAUACUGAUGUAUAUUACUUUCGAUAAUUAUUUAAAUUUUAUUUUUGUUUUAUUUUAUAAACUUCAUGAUUAAGGAAUUUUUUGGUGUACUAAUUUCUGUUAGAUAAUAUUGGAUAUCUUCAUUUUUUUUUGAGUAAUUUGCUUUAGUAACCUCAGUAUUGGUGAACGAACUUGUAAAAAUUUAUUGUCGUUAAGUUAAUAGAAUUAUUUUAUUUCCAUUAACUGAUCACAAAUGAUAAUAGGAAAAUCAAUAUGUUAACUCAAUGUUAAAGUUCUUCAGCUGGAUAUAUGAACUGAGGAUGCAUAUUUAAGUCCACAUAAUGUCUUGUGCAUCAAGUUGGAUCAAUACUCCAAUUGUCUUCAUCUAUUUCUCUAUACCUUAUUUAUUUGUUAGAGAUUAAUUUGAGAUCAAAAUGAAGUGGUCUAUCUUCCAAUUUUACUUCCAAUGAUCGUUCUUGUUUGAAGAUUUAGCUUUUCUUUUAGAUAUUGUUUUGAUUGGUUCAUGGGCAAAACAACCAAUGCGAUGGGCAAUAAGGUUGAGGGUGGCUUUAUAUAUAGCACAAGCAUUGGACUGUUGCAAUAGUAAAGGCUGAGCACUAUAUCACGAUCUGAAUAGUACAAAAGUCAAAUAAAUUCCAACAUUUUUGUAAUUGUGGUCCCAUUGACUUUCUCUCUCUUCAUUCACAUUCACUCUUUCUCAUUUAUGUUGCUUUUUUCGAAAUUUCUUUACGGAGAAACCAAAAGAAAUCGAGCCGCAAGAAGGAGAAGGAAGGUAAAAUUCAAACAAGUUACUGAAAUUGGUAUGUUGUUAUGGUUGGUGUAAUUAGGUGUAUUGAGAUUUUAAGGGUUAAUUAUUGCGAUUGAUUUGUUUCGAUGCAAUCGACAAAUUUGGUUGAAAGUGAUGAAUUAUUAUUCACGGUUGAACUGUUUUAUCUUUAAGUAUGAUAUUUAUUUUUUUCUUUUUUAGAUUUUGUUCAAUUUUGUUUUAGUUUAUUGUUUGUUUUGUAUUUUUUUCCUAGAGUUUUUAUUAUAGUAUUUAUCAUUGAACUAUUCUUAGGAAAUUGCAAAUUGCAAAUUGUAUUUAUUGUUUUUACGUGUAUAGUGUUUGAUUGUAUUUUUUUGACUGCAAUUGUGUUCUUUUCUUAGGUAAAUUCUUCCGAUUAAGUUGUUUAGGUAUUUGUUCAUAUGUUUAGGUAGUAUGUAUAUUUUCAACUUUUCCUUAUUUAUUUAUAGUAAUUUGUUAAAUUUGUAAUAGUUGUCGGUUUUUGAGCUUUCUUGCCUUUAUCUCAUCACUAUCAGGAAUUUUUCUUUUUCGAUCGAUUGUGAAUGGAAAUUCUAAAGAGUCUAAGGCAAUUGAGAUGUAUACCUGCGAACGAGGAUUUUGGGAAGAAGGGAGUUUGGUGGCUGUUUGCAAAAGUUCUUCAGUCGGCUUCGCUGUUGCAUAAAUAUAUUUUUUUUUAGGUAUUUAGCUAAGUAUUUGUUCAUUUUUGUGUGAGUUUGUGAUGAUUUGUAAAAAUUUAAGGUUUUAGCUUUCAUGAUGUUUGUUCUUGGACAAAUUUUGUAUAUAUAUUUUUUUUGGGGGGCUAAUUUUAGUUUCUCUUUGGAAGAAAUAGAAACAAACAAUUUAUUUUUUUC